RNAcentral lists this ribosomal RNA (384 nucleotides) under Staphylococcus aureus. Its description in RNAcentral is "partial 23S ribosomal RNA". It matches the Rfam family "Bacterial large subunit ribosomal RNA", at positions 46 to 423 of the family's 2925-position model. Lineage: Bacteria; Bacillati; Bacillota; Bacilli; Caryophanales; Staphylococcaceae. The record is from RNAcentral.
CCGAUGAAGGACGUUACUAACGACGAUAUGCUUUGGGGAGCUGUAAGUAAGCUUUGAUCCAGAGAUUUCCGAAUGGGGAAACCCAGCAUGAGUUAUGUCAUGUUAUCGAUAUGUGAAUACAUAGCAUAUCAGAAGGCACACCCGGAGAACUGAAACAUCUUAGUACCCGGAGGAAGAGAAAGAAAAUUCGAUUCCCUUAGUAGCGGCGAGCGAAACGGGAAGAGCCCAAACCAACAAGCUUGCUUGUUGGGGUUGUAGGACACUCUAUACGGAGUUACAAAGGACGACAUUAGACGAAUCAUCUGGAAAGAUGAAUCAAAGAAGGUAAUAAUCCUGUAGUCGAAAAUGUUGUCUCUCUUGAGUGGAUCCUGAGUACGACGGAGC